GAUGAACGCUAGCUACAGGCUUAACACAUGCAAGUCGAGGGGCAGCAUGAACUUAGCUUGCUAAGUUUGAUGGCGACCGGCGCACGGGUGAGUAACACGUAUCCAACCUGCCGAUGACUCGGGGAUAGCCUUUCGAAAGAAAGAUUAAUACAAGAUGGCAUCAUGAGUCCGCAUGUUCACAUGAUUAAAGGUAUUCCGGUAGACGAUGGGGAUGCGUUCCAUUAGAUAGUAGGCGGGGUAACGGCCCACCUAGUCUUCGAUGGAUAGGGGUUCUGAGAGGAAGGUCCCCCACAUUGGAACUGAGACACGGUCCAA
RNAcentral lists this ribosomal RNA (315 nucleotides) under uncultured bacterium. Its description in RNAcentral is "bacterial SSU rRNA". It matches the Rfam family "Bacterial small subunit ribosomal RNA", at positions 28 to 334 of the family's 1533-position model. The record is from RNAcentral.